AUUGAACGCUGGCGGCAUGCCUAACACAUGCAAGUCGAACGAGUGGCGGACGGGUGAGUAAUGUCUGGGAAACUGCCUGAUGGAGGGGGAUAACUACUGGAAACGGUAGCUAAUACCGCAUACCAUCAUAUAUGCCCAUAUGGGAUUAGCUAGUUGGUUGGGUAACGGCUCACCAAGGCGACUAUCCCUAGCUGGUCUGAGAGGAUGACCAGCCACACUGGAAAGGAGACACGGUCCAGACUCCGACGGGAGGCAGCAGUGGGUAAUAUUGCACAAGGGGCGCAAGCCUGAGGCAGCCAUGCCGCGUGUAUGAAGAAGGCCUUCGGGUUGUAAAGUACUUUCAGCGGGGAGGCGUUACCCGCAGAAGAAGCACCGGCUAACUCCGUGCCAGCAGCCGCGGUAAUUC
RNAcentral lists this ribosomal RNA (406 nucleotides) under uncultured bacterium. RNAcentral describes it as "partial 16S ribosomal RNA". It matches the Rfam family "Bacterial small subunit ribosomal RNA", at positions 30 to 526 of the family's 1533-position model. The record is from RNAcentral.